RNAcentral lists this ribosomal RNA (482 nucleotides) under uncultured bacterium. RNAcentral's name for it is "partial 16S ribosomal RNA". It matches the Rfam family "Bacterial small subunit ribosomal RNA", at positions 28 to 507 of the family's 1533-position model. The record is from RNAcentral.
GUUGAACGCUGGCGGCAUGCUUUACACAUGCAAGUCGAACGGUAACAGGCUGCAAGGUGCUGACGAGUGGCGGACGGGUGAGUAAUUCAUCGGAACGUGCCCAGUCGUGGGGGAUAACUACUCGACAGAGUAGCUAAUACCGCAUCCGAUCUAUGGAUGAAAGCGGGGGACCGUAAGGCCUCGCGCGAUUGGAGCGGCAGAUGUGCGAGUCGGUAGUUGGUGGGGUUAAGGCUCACCAAGCCCACGAUCUGUAGCUGGUCUGAGAGGACGACCAGCCACACUGGAGCUGAGACACGGCCCAGACUCCUAAGGGAGGCAGCAGUGGGGAAUGUUGGACAACGGGCGCAAGCCUGAUCCAGCAAUGGCGCGUGCAGGAAGAAGGCCUUCGGUUUGGAAACUGCUUUUGUACGGAACGAAACGGCUCUGGUUAAUACCCGGGGCUAAUGACGGUACCGUAAGAAUAAGCACCGGCUAACUACGUG